UACGGAAGGUCCAGGCGUUAUCCGGAUUUAUUGGGCGUAAAGCGAGCGCAGGCGGUUCAUUAAGUCUGAUGUGAAAGCCCCCGGCUCAACCGGGGAGGGUCAUUGGAAACUGGUGGACUUGAGUGCAGAAGAGGAGAGUGGAAUUCCAUGUGUAGCGGUGAAGUGCGUAGAUAUAUGGAGGAACACCAGUGGCGAAGGCGGCUCUCUGGUCUGUAACUGACGCUGAGGCUCGAAAGCGUGUGGAGCAAACAGGAUUAGAUACCCUGGUAGUCCACGCCGUAAACGAUGAGUACUAAGUGUUGGAGGGUUUCCGCCCUUCAGUGCUGCAGCAAACGCAUUAAGCACUCCGCCUGGGGAGUACGACCGCAAGGUUGAA
RNAcentral lists this ribosomal RNA (376 nucleotides) under uncultured bacterium. RNAcentral's name for it is "bacterial SSU rRNA". It matches the Rfam family "Bacterial small subunit ribosomal RNA", at positions 524 to 898 of the family's 1533-position model. The record is from RNAcentral.